UUGAACGCUGGCGGCAUGCUUUACACCUGCAAGUCGCACGGCAGCGCGGGCUUCGGCCUGGCGGCGAGUGGCGAACGGGUGAGUAAUACAUCGGAACGUGCCCAGUAGUGGGGGAUAGCUCGGCGAAAGCCGGAUUAAUACCGCAUACGACCUGAGGGUGAAAGCGGGGGAUCUUCGGACCUCGCGCUAUUGGAGCGGCCGAUGGCAGAUUAGCUAGUUGGUGGGGUAAAGGCCUACCAAGGCGACGAUCUGUAGCUGGUCUGAGAGGACGACCAGCCACACUGGGACUGAGACACGGCCCAGACUCCUACGGGAGGCAGCAGUGGGGAAUUUUGGACAAUGGGCGAAAGCCUGAUCCAGCAAUGCCGCGUGUGUGAUGAAGGCCUUCGGGUUGUAAAGCACUUUUGGCGGGAACGAAAAGGACUGUGCCAAUACCACGGUUCGAUGACGGUACCCGCAGAAUAAGCACCGGCUAACUACGUG
Molecule: ribosomal RNA, 483 nt
Filed under: uncultured bacterium
Lineage: Bacteria
Description: partial 16S ribosomal RNA
Rfam family: Bacterial small subunit ribosomal RNA
Source: RNAcentral